AUGGUUCAUGUUGUAUACAGCAGGACUAGUGAAUGCAAUUGGUUAGAAAAUCUCUCCCUGCACUUCUCAAAGAGUAUCACUUUUGGAAUUCAGGAGUACAUAAGGCUCGAAGUUUCCACAAACCGUUAUGUUGGAAUCUGGUAUUAUAGAGCAGAAGAAAAACACAUGUUGUAGGUUGCAAAUAGAGACAAUCCUAUCAAUGAUACUUCUGGAGUUCUCUCAAUUGAUGUUCAUGGAAACCUAGUACUCCAUGUCAAAGAUCGAAAUCAGCCCAUCUGGUCGACAAAUAUUACCUCAAAAUCAAGCUAUAACAGUACUGUUGCUCAGCUCUUGGAUUCUGGAAAUCUACAACUGGUUCUUAACAAAACAGGUGAGUUACUAUGGCAAAGCUUUGAUUAUCCAACUGAUACGUUUUUUACACACCUGAAACUUGGGUAGACAGAACAACCGGUCUGAAUCGAACCCUAAGAUCCUGAAAGUCCAAAGAUGAUCCAGGAACUGGUAAUUGCUUGUAUAUGCUCAACACCAAUAGCUCCUCCCCAGAGUCGUAUUUGUACAAAAGUAACAUUUUGUUGUGGCGUACUGGUCAUUGGAAUGGAUUUAGAUGGAGCGGGAUACCCGGAUUCAUACAAGCUAAUUGGCUCUUGAAUAUUAGUCUGGUGAACAACCAGACUGAGACUACUCUAAGUUGGAUUGAUCUCCCUCCAAGAUCAUUCUCAAGAUUCGUGGUAACUGAAUCAGGGUCUAUUGAACACUAUACGAUGACGGAGGGAGAUAAAAAAUGGUAUUAUGGGGGGUCAGUGCCGCUGGACGUGUGUGACUAUUACGGCAAGUGUGGUACACCUGGUAAAUGUCAACUUCAAAAUGAUACUACUAAAUUUGAAUGCACUUGUCUACCUGGGUUCCAACCCAAGUCACCAAGUGAAUGGUCUUUGAGAAAUACAUCUGGUGGAUGUGUAAGAAAGCGUGGACUGGAAUCUAUAUGCAAGAGUGGUGAUGGGUUUGUGAAGGUAGAAAAUGUGAAGCUUCCGGAUAGUUCAUUUGCACAACUUGAUAAGAAGCUGAGUUUGGAGGAGUGUGAGCAACAAUGCUUGCAGAAUUGUAAUUGCACAGCGUAUGCAGGUAUGGAUACACAGGAGCAAGUCGGGUGUUUGAGAUGGCUUGGUAAUUUGAAAGACACGAGUGUGAUACUUGAGGGCCAAAAUUUGUACGUACGAGUGGACGCGCUUGAGUUAGCUCAUUCCAAUGGGUUCUUUGCCAACAAGAAGAGGCAAACAAUUACGAUCGUGGCCCUACUUGUUACUCCAUGA
Molecule: RNA transcript, 1310 nt
Organism: Quercus lobata
Lineage: Eukaryota; Viridiplantae; Streptophyta; Magnoliopsida; Fagales; Fagaceae
Gene name: G-type lectin S-receptor-like serine/threonine-protein kinase At1g11410
Exons: 4
Source: RefSeq, a predicted model, not a curated record